Molecule: ribosomal RNA, 433 nt
Filed under: uncultured bacterium
Lineage: Bacteria
Description: partial 16S ribosomal RNA
Rfam family: Bacterial small subunit ribosomal RNA
Source: RNAcentral
AACGAACGCUGGCGGCAUGCCUAACACAUGCAAGUCGAACGAGACCUUCGGGUCUAGUGGCGCACGGGUGCGUAACGUGUGGGAACCUGCCCUUAGGGUCGGAAUAACUCCCCGAAAGGGGUGCUAAUACCGGAUAAUGUCCUCGGACCAAAGAUUUAUCGCCUUUGGAUGGGCCCGCGUUGGUUUAGCUAGUUGGUAGGGUAAAAGCCUACCAAGGCGACGAUCCAUAGCUGGUCUGAGAGGAUGAUCAGCCACACUGGGACUGAGACACGGCCCAGACUCCUACGGGAGGCAGCAGUGGGGAAUAUUGGACAAUGGGCGAAAGCCUGAUCCAGCGAUGCCGCGUGAGUGAUGAAGGCCUUAGGGUUGUAAAGCUCUUUUACCCGGGAUGAUAAUGACAGUACCGGGAGAAUAAGCUCCGGCUAACUCCGUG